Molecule: ribosomal RNA, 691 nt
Filed under: Bacillus subtilis
Lineage: Bacteria; Bacillati; Bacillota; Bacilli; Caryophanales; Bacillaceae
Description: bacterial SSU rRNA
Rfam family: Bacterial small subunit ribosomal RNA
Source: RNAcentral
GACAGAUGGGAGCUUGCUCCCUGAUGUUAGCGGCGGACGGGUGAGUAACACGUGGGUAACCUGCCUGUAAGACUGGGAUAACUCCGGGAAACCGGGGCUAAUACCGGAUGGUUGUUUGAACCGCAUGGUUCAAACAUAAAAGGUGGCUUCGGCUACCACUUACAGAUGGACCCGCGGCGCAUUAGCUAGUUGGUGAGGUAACGGCUCACCAAGGCAACGAUGCGUAGCCGACCUGAGAGGGUGAUCGGCCACACUGGGACUGAGACACGGCCCAGACUCCUACGGGAGGCAGCAGUAGGGAAUCUUCCGCAAUGGACGAAAGUCUGACGGAGCAACGCCGCGUGAGUGAUGAAGGUUUUCGGAUCGUAAAGCUCUGUUGUUAGGGAAGAACAAGUACCGUUCGAAUAGGGCGGUACCUUGACGGUACCUAACCAGAAAGCCACGGCUAACUACGUGCCAGCAGCCGCGGUAAUACGUAGGUGGCAAGCGUUGUCCGGAAUUAUUGGGCGUAAAGGGCUCGCAGGCGGUUUCUUAAGUCUGAUGUGAAAGCCCCCGGCUCAACCGGGGAGGGUCAUUGGAAACUGGGGAACUUGAGUGCAGAAGAGGAGAGUGGAAUUCCACGUGUAGCGGUGAAAUGCGUAGAGAUGUGGAGGAACACCAGUGGCGAAGGCGACUCUCUGGUCUGUAACUG